RNAcentral lists this ribosomal RNA (386 nucleotides) under uncultured bacterium. RNAcentral describes it as "bacterial SSU rRNA". It matches the Rfam family "Bacterial small subunit ribosomal RNA", at positions 29 to 416 of the family's 1533-position model. The record is from RNAcentral.
AUUGAACGCUGGCGGCAUGCCUUACACAUGCAAGUCGAACGGCAGCACGGGAGCAAUCCUGGUGGCGAGUGGCGAACGGGUGAGUAAUAUAUCGGAACGUGCCCAGUAGUGGGGGAUAGCCCGGCGAAAGCCGGAUUAAUACCGCAUGAGACCUGAGGGUGAAAGCGGGGGAUCGCAAGACCUCGCGCUAUUGGAGCGGCCGAUAUCAGAUUAGCUAGUUGGUGGGGUAAAGGCCUACCAAGGCAACGAUCAGUAGUUGGUCUGAGAGGACGGCCAGCCACACUGGGACUGAGACACGGCCCAGACUCCUACGGGAGGCAGCAGUGGGGAAUUUUGGACAAUGGGCGCAAGCCUGAUCCAGCAAUGCCGCGUGAGUGAAGAAGGCC